GUGGGGAAUCUUGCGCAAUGGGCGAAAGCCUGACGCAGCCAUGCCGCGUGAAUGAUGAAGGUCUUAGGAUUGUAAAAUUCUUUCACCGGGGACGAUAAUGACGGUACCCGGAGAAGAAGCUCCGGCUAACUUCGUGCCAGCAGCCGCGGUAAUACGAAGGGGGCUAGCGUUGCUCGGAAUUACUGGGCGUAAAGGGCGCGUAGGCGGACAGCUUAGUCAGAGGUGAAAGCCCAGGGCUCAACCUUGGAAUUGCCUUUGAUACUGGCUGUCUUGAGUUUGGGAGAGGUGAGUGGAACUCCGAGUGUAGAGGUGAAAUUCGUAGAUAUUCGGAAGAACACCAGUGGCGAAGGCGACUCACUGGCCCAAUACUGACACUGAGGUGCGAAAGCGUGGGGAGCAAACAGGAUUAGAUACCCCAGUAGUCC
This 425-nucleotide ribosomal RNA is filed under the name uncultured bacterium. RNAcentral's name for it is "partial 16S ribosomal RNA". It matches the Rfam family "Bacterial small subunit ribosomal RNA", at positions 354 to 796 of the family's 1533-position model. The record is from RNAcentral.